GGAGGACAGACCACACUGUGGCCAAACAGGAAAGCCUUCCAUCUGACUCGGGGUGGGGAUGUAAUGGGAAAGGCUGCGGAUUUACAGAAGCAGGAUGAAGCAGCGCCACAGACAGACCCACGCUCUGGAAAUGCCUGGGAUGAGUGAGAGGUCCUCUGAAGUCAAACACUAGUAAUUAUGCCCACUGAUUUUCUUAAGGAAGUGUUGGAAUGUUAAUAAAACCUCGGGAACUUUUAUGUGCUGUUGAUGGGACUGUAAGGAAAAGGUUAUGUCCCUUCUUCAAAAA
RNAcentral lists this long non-coding RNA (286 nucleotides) under Mus caroli (Ryukyu mouse). Its description in RNAcentral is "predicted gene, 26978 (MGP_CAROLIEiJ_G0034617.1)". Lineage: Eukaryota; Metazoa; Chordata; Mammalia; Rodentia; Muridae. The record is from RNAcentral.